GCCCUUGUGGCUCAGUGGUGAGAGUGCUUGGCUGUUAACCGAAAGGUCAGUGGUUUGAACCCACCAGCUGCU
This 72-nucleotide transfer RNA is filed under the name Loxodonta africana (African savanna elephant). It matches the Rfam family "tRNA". Rfam says of the family: Transfer RNA (tRNA) molecules are approximately 80 nucleotides in length. The record is from Rfam by way of RNAcentral. Lineage: Eukaryota; Metazoa; Chordata; Mammalia; Proboscidea; Elephantidae.